GUGAACGCUGGCGGUAGGCCUAACACAUGCAAGUCGAACGGCAACACAGUAAGAUCUUGCUCUUACGGGUGGCGAGUGGCGGACGGGUGAGGAAUACAUCGGAAUCUACUUUUUCGUGGGGGAUUACGUAGGGAAACUUACGCUCAUACCGCAUACGACUUACGGGUGAAAGCAGGGGAUCUUCGGACCUUGCGCGAUUGAAUGACCCGAUGUCGGAUUAGCUAGUUGGCGGGGUAAAGGCCCACCAAGGCGACGAUCCGUAGCUGGUGUGAGAGGAUGAUCAGCCACACUGGAACUGAGACACGGUCCAGACUCCUACGGGAGGCAGCAGUGGGGAAUAUUAGACAGUGGGCGCAAGCAUGAUCCAGCCAUACCGCGUCGGUGAAGAAGGCCUUCGGGUUGUAAAGCCCUUUUGUUGGGAGAGAAAAGCAGCAGGUUAAUACCCCGCGGUUCUGACGGUACCCAAAGAAUAAGCACCGGCUAACUUCGUG
This 491-nucleotide ribosomal RNA is filed under the name uncultured bacterium. RNAcentral describes it as "partial 16S ribosomal RNA". It matches the Rfam family "Bacterial small subunit ribosomal RNA", at positions 29 to 507 of the family's 1533-position model. The record is from RNAcentral.